Molecule: non-coding RNA, 95 nt
Organism: Arthrobotrys megalospora
Lineage: Eukaryota; Fungi; Ascomycota; Orbiliomycetes; Orbiliales; Orbiliaceae
Source: the annotation of a GenBank genome assembly
GCGUUUGUGGUUUAGUGGUAAAAUUGAUCGUUGCCACGACUGGUCAUUCAGUCAGCAGCUUCGAUCAGCCCCGGGUUCGAUUCCCGGCGGACGCA